CAGCAGCCGCGGUAAUACGUAUGUCACAAGCGUUAUCCGGAAUUAUUGGGCGUAAAGCGCGCGCAGGCGGAUAGGUCAGUCUGUCUUAAAAGUUCGGGGCUUAACCCCGUGAUGGGAUGGAAACUGCCAAUCUAGAGUAUCGGAGAGGAAAGUGGAAUUCCUAGUGUAGCGGUGAAAUGCGUAGAUAUUAGGAAGAACACCAGUGGCGAAGGCGACUUUCUGGACGAAAACUGACGCUGAGGCGCGAAAGCCAGGGGAGCGAACGGGAUUAGAUACCCGCGUAGUCCCUGUCUCUUAUACA
Molecule: ribosomal RNA, 301 nt
Filed under: uncultured bacterium
Lineage: Bacteria
Description: partial 16S ribosomal RNA
Rfam family: Bacterial small subunit ribosomal RNA
Source: RNAcentral